This 674-nucleotide long non-coding RNA is filed under the name Meriones unguiculatus (Mongolian gerbil). RNAcentral describes it as "lncRNA (ENSMUGG00000015962.1)". Lineage: Eukaryota; Metazoa; Chordata; Mammalia; Rodentia; Muridae. The record is from RNAcentral.
GCCUGGGUUCCAGACAGCGGCCAUCCACGCAGGGCGCUGCCAAGCCGCGGAAAGUGGACCGUGGAAACGGCCUCUCCAACUCUGACAAGGGUGGAUCCCCGCCUCAGCUCAGCCCCGGAGUCAGACCCCAGAAGUCGUCGCCCAGGGGCCCCACGAUCGCCCCUACGCAGGCAGGGACUUGCAAAGCGCUCCUGGGCGAACUGUGGAGGGGCAGGGGCAGAAACCUACCUGGCCGCGGAGCUGGAGGCGGUGGCUGUUCCUCGCCCCUGCUUUCCCAGCGGGAUGCCGAACAGCAGAAGUGAAGCUCGCUUGGGAAUCUCGUCGCGGAAAUCGACGGUGAAAUCCGGAACAGAAACCCAGCGCAGGGGAAGAAGCCCACCACAGGCCUGGGCUGAAACUGGCGCUCUCACAUCUGGUGUCUCUCCUGCACUCCAGACUUCCGCCGCACGCUUCUUAAAAAGGGGCCAUUGAACGCUACAGCCGGAGCCUGGAGUCAGAGACGGACCUUUCAGCAUGUGGAGGCGAAAAUAAUGGCUCCCCGUGGGAAUCAGAGCGAUGGGACUACAGAGUUUGUCCUGGCAGGCUUCCCGAAUCUCAACAGCACAGGAGUGGGGCUCUUCUCUGUGUUCUUCCUUAUUUACGCGUUGACUCUAACGGGCAACGUGUUGAUUGUG